UCGCUUUGGCAGCAUAUGUACUAAAAUCGGAACAAUACAGAGGAGUAGUGUGGUCCGGCACAAGAAUGUCACGCAAAUUCGUGAAGCAUCCCAUAUUUUU
Molecule: small nuclear RNA, 100 nt
Organism: Otolemur garnettii (small-eared galago)
Lineage: Eukaryota; Metazoa; Chordata; Mammalia; Primates; Galagidae
Source: Ensembl